RNAcentral lists this ribosomal RNA (428 nucleotides) under uncultured bacterium. RNAcentral's name for it is "bacterial SSU rRNA". It matches the Rfam family "Bacterial small subunit ribosomal RNA", at positions 355 to 775 of the family's 1533-position model. The record is from RNAcentral.
UGGGGAAUUUUGGACAAUGGGGGCAACCCUGAUCCAGCCAUGCCGCGUGCGGGAAGAAGGCCUUCGGGUUGUAAACCGCUUUUAGUCGGGAAGAAAAGGCCAAGGUGAAUACCCUUGGUUUUUGACGGUACCGGCGGAAUAAGCACCGGCUAACUACGUGCCAGCAGCCGCGGUAAUACGUAGGGUGCGAGCGUUAAUCGGAAUUACUGGGCGUAAAGCGUGCGCAGGCGGUUCGUCGUGUCUGAUGUGAAAGCCCCGGGCUCAACCUGGGAAUGGCAUUGGAAACUGGCGGACUCGAGUGUGGCAGAGGGGGGUGGAAUUCCGCGUGUAGCAGUGAAAUGCGUAGAGAUGCGGAGGAACACCGAUGGCGAAGGCAGCCCCCUGGGCUAACACUGACGCUCAGGCACGAAAGCGUGGGGAGCAAACAG